This 397-nucleotide ribosomal RNA is filed under the name uncultured bacterium. Its description in RNAcentral is "bacterial SSU rRNA". It matches the Rfam family "Bacterial small subunit ribosomal RNA", at positions 114 to 507 of the family's 1533-position model. The record is from RNAcentral.
UGCAUCGGAACAUACCCAGUCGUGGGGGAUAACGUAGCGAAAGUUACGCUAAUACCGCAUACGUCCUGAGGGAGAAAGCGGGGGAUCGCAAGACCUCGCGCGAUUGGAGUGGCCGAUGUCGGAUUAGCUAGUUGGUGGGGUAAAGGCCUACCAAGGCGACGAUCUGUAGCGGGUCUGAGAGGAUGAUCCGCCACACUGGGACUGAGACACGGCCCAGACUCCUACGGGAGGCAGCAGUGGGGAAUUUUGGACAAUGGGCGCAAGCCUGAUCCAGCCAUGCCGCGUGCGGGAAGAAGGCCUUCGGGUUGUAAACCGCUUUCAGCCGGAAAGAAAUCGCCAUUUCUAAUACAAGUGGUGGAUGACGGUACCGGAAGAAGAAGCACCGGCUAACUACGUG